This 460-nucleotide ribosomal RNA is filed under the name uncultured bacterium. RNAcentral describes it as "partial 16S ribosomal RNA". It matches the Rfam family "Bacterial small subunit ribosomal RNA", at positions 338 to 795 of the family's 1533-position model. The record is from RNAcentral.
CCUACGGGGGGCAGCAGUGAGGAAUAUUGGUCAAUGGCCGAGAGGCUGAACCAGCCAAGUCGCGUGAGGGAAGACGGCCCUACGGGUUGUAAACCUCUUUUGUCGGGGAGCAAAGCGAGUCACGUGUGACCCAUUGAGAGUACCCGAAGAAAAAGCAUCGGCUAACUCCGUGCCAGCAGCCGCGGUAAUACGGAGGAUGCGAGCGUUAUCCGGAUUUAUUGGGUGUAAAGGGAGCGUAGACGGUUAUGUAAGUCUGGAGUGAAAGUCCGGGGCCCAACCCCGGGACUGCUUUGGAAACUGUGUAACUGGAGUACAGGAGGGGCAGGCGGAAUGCCUGGUGUAGCGGUGAAAUGCGUAGAUAUCAGGAGGAACACCGGCGGCGAAGGCGGCCUGCUGGACUGAAACUGACGUUGAGGCUCGAAAGCGUGGGGAGCAAACAGGAUUAGAUACCCCAGUAGUC